This 64-nucleotide transfer RNA is filed under the name Gonodactylus sp. SIO BIC C12730. RNAcentral's name for it is "tRNA-Cys". It matches the Rfam family "tRNA". Rfam says of the family: Transfer RNA (tRNA) molecules are approximately 80 nucleotides in length. Their secondary structure includes four short double-helical elements and three loops (D, anti-codon, and T loops). Further hydrogen bonds mediate the characteristic L-shaped molecular structure. tRNAs have two regions of fundamental functional importance: the anti-codon, which is responsible for specific mRNA codon recognition, and the 3' end, to which the tRNAs corresponding amino acid is attached (by aminoacyl-tRNA synthetases). tRNAs cope with the degeneracy of the genetic code in two manners: having more than one tRNA (with a specific anti-codon) for a particular amino acid; and 'wobble' base-pairing, i.e. permitting non-standard base-pairing at the 3rd anti-codon position. Lineage: Eukaryota; Metazoa; Arthropoda; Malacostraca; Stomatopoda; Gonodactylidae. The record is from RNAcentral.
AGUUUCAUAGUUUAAGUUUAAAAUGUCAGACUGCAAUUCUGAAGAUACAGUACAGUUGGAGCUU